GAUGAACGCUGGCGGCGUGCCUAAUACAUGCAAGUCGAGCGAACAGACGAUGAUCUUGCGCCUCUCUCGUUAGCGGCGGACGUGUGAGUAACACGUGGAUAACCUCCCUAUAAUUCUGGUAUAACUUCGGGAAACCGGAGCAAAUACCGGAGAAUAUAUUGAACCACAGUGGUCAAUGGUGAAUGACGGUUUUGCGGUCUCUUAUAGAUGGUUCCCCGCCGCAUGAUCUGGUUGUUAAGUUAACGGCUUACCAAGGGAACGAGGCGUAGCCGACGUGAGAGGGUGAUCGCCGGCACUGGAAGGUGGCCAGGCACAAUAGUCCUAAGGGAGGGCGCAGUAGGGAACGUUCGGCAAUGGGGGAAAGCCUGACGGAGUAGCGCCGAGUGGGAGAUGAAAGUCUUGGGAUCGUAAAACUGUGUUAUUAGGGAAGAACCAAUGUGUAAGUAAAUAUAGACGUAUUGACGGUACCUGAUAAGAAAGCCACGGCUAACUACGUG
Molecule: ribosomal RNA, 497 nt
Filed under: uncultured bacterium
Lineage: Bacteria
Description: partial 16S ribosomal RNA
Rfam family: Bacterial small subunit ribosomal RNA
Source: RNAcentral